AACGAACGCUAUCGGUAUGCUUAACACAUGCAAGUCGGACGGACUAAUUAGGGCUUGCUCCAAUUAGUUAGUGGCAGACGGGUGAGUAACACGUGGGAAUCUACCCAUCAGUACGGAAUAACUUUUAGAAAUAAAAGCUAAUACCGUAUAUUCUCUACAGAGGAAAGAUUUAUCGCUGAUGGAUGAGCCCGCGUCAGAUUAGGUAGUUGGUGAGGUAACGGCUCACCAAGCCGACGAUCUGUAGCUGGUCUGAGAGGAUGAUCAGCCACACUGGGACUGAGACACGGCCCAGACUCCUACGGGAGGCAGCAGUGGGGAAUAUUGGACAAUGGGCGAAAGCCUGAUCCAGCAAUACCGAGUGAGUGAUAAAGGCCCUAGGGUUGUAAAGCUCUUUUAGCAAGGAAGAUAAUGACGUUACUUGCAGAAAAAGCCCCGGCUAACUCCGUG
This 447-nucleotide ribosomal RNA is filed under the name uncultured bacterium. RNAcentral describes it as "partial 16S ribosomal RNA". It matches the Rfam family "Bacterial small subunit ribosomal RNA", at positions 29 to 507 of the family's 1533-position model. The record is from RNAcentral.